This 274-nucleotide ribosomal RNA is filed under the name uncultured bacterium. RNAcentral describes it as "partial 16S ribosomal RNA". It matches the Rfam family "Bacterial small subunit ribosomal RNA", at positions 523 to 796 of the family's 1533-position model. The record is from RNAcentral.
AUACGGAGGGUGCAAGCGUUACUCGGAAUCACUGGGCGUAAAGCGCGCGCAGGCGGCUUGAUAAGUUGGAUGUGAAAGCCUACGGCUCAACCGUAGAACUGCAUCCAAAACUGUCAGGCUAGAGUGUGGGAGAGGAAGAUGGAAUUAGUUGUGUAGGGGUAAAAUCCGUAGAGAUAACUAGGAAUACCAAAAGCGAAGGCAAUCUUCUGGAACAUUACUGACGCUGAGGCGCGAAAGCGUGGGGAGCAAACAGGAUUAGAAACCCCGGUAGUCC